AGAAUGAACGUUGGCGGCGUGGAUUAGGCAUGCAAGUCGUACGGGUCGGUGUAGCAAUACAACGGCAAGUGGCGAAAGGGAGAGUAACACGUAGAUACCUACCCUCUGGUCGGGGAUAUCGCGGCAUAACCGCAACCAAUACCCGAUAAAAUCUCCGGAUCAAAGGUGUGAUUCCGCCGGAGGAGGGGUCUGCGUUCUAUCAGCUUGUUGGCGAGGUAACGGCUCACCAAGGCUAAGACGGAUACGGGGUGUGAGAGCAUGCCCCCGCUCACUGGGACUGAGACACUGCCCAGACACCUACGGGUGCUGCAGUCGAGAAUCUUCGGCAAUGGGCGCAAGCCUGACCGAGCGACGCCGCGUGCGGGGUGAAGGCCUUCGGUUGUAAACCGCUGGUCGAGGGGAUGGAAGUGUAGGUAAGUCAUCUUAUCUAUUUGACAGAUCCCUGGAGAAGCAUGGCUAAGUCGUGCCAGCAGCCG
RNAcentral lists this ribosomal RNA (476 nucleotides) under uncultured soil bacterium. Its description in RNAcentral is "bacterial SSU rRNA". It matches the Rfam family "Bacterial small subunit ribosomal RNA", at positions 26 to 517 of the family's 1533-position model. The record is from RNAcentral.